ACGGAGGAGUUUGGCACCUCGAUGUCGGCUCAUCACAUCCUGGGGCUGUAGCAGGUCCCAAGGGUAUGGCUGUUCGCCAUUUAAAGUGGUACGCGAGCUGGGUUUAGAACGUCGUGAGACAGUUCGGUCCCUAUCUGCCGUAGGCGUUGGAAAUUUGAAGGGAGCUGCUCCUAGUACGAGAGGACCGGAGUGGACGUAUCUCUGGUGUUCCGGUUGUCACGCCAGUGGCACUGCCGGGUAGCUAUAUACGGAAGGGAUAACCGCUGAAAGCAUCUAAGCGGGAAGCCCCCCCUGAGACUAGAUUUCCCUGGGGACUUGAUCCCCCUGAAGGGCUGUUGAAGACUACAACGUUGAUAGGCUGGGUGUGGAAGCGCAGUAAUGCGUGAAGCUAACCAGUACUAAUUGCCCGUGAGGCUUGGCCAU
Molecule: ribosomal RNA, 423 nt
Filed under: Gammaproteobacteria bacterium
Lineage: Bacteria; Pseudomonadati; Pseudomonadota; Gammaproteobacteria
Description: partial 23S ribosomal RNA
Rfam family: Bacterial large subunit ribosomal RNA
Source: RNAcentral